This 214-nucleotide ribosomal RNA is filed under the name uncultured bacterium. RNAcentral describes it as "partial 16S ribosomal RNA". It matches the Rfam family "Bacterial small subunit ribosomal RNA", at positions 1286 to 1500 of the family's 1533-position model. The record is from RNAcentral.
CCCACGUUCGGAUUGCAGCCUGCAACUCGGCUGCAUGAAGCUGGAAUCGCUAGUAAUCGCGGAUCAGAAUGCCGCGGUGAAUACGUUCCCGGGUCUUGUACACACCGCCCGUCACACCAUGGGAGUCGGGAAUGCCCGAAGUCAGUGACCCAACCGAAAGGGGGAGCUGCCGAAGGCAGGCCUGGUAACUGGGGUGAAGUCGUAACAAGGUAUC